RNAcentral lists this long non-coding RNA (544 nucleotides) under Nicotiana tabacum (common tobacco). RNAcentral describes it as "long non-coding RNA (NTAB_LNC005221)". The record is from RNAcentral. Lineage: Eukaryota; Viridiplantae; Streptophyta; Magnoliopsida; Solanales; Solanaceae.
UUGAGCUAAGCAAACCAACAAAUAAAAAAUGGAGAGGCGUCAGAGUGAGGAAGAAUUAAAGCAUAAGCUUCAAGAAUUGCAGAAGCAGUUAGGAAAGAAACAAAUGUUUGAGGAAGCUGUUUCCUCUAUCCGAUCCCUUCUUCUUCAAUACUAUCCUUCUGCUUCCCCUUCUCUUCGUCAUUCGGUAAUUUCCCUCUUCCCCUUUUCUGGGUUUUCCUUUUAUUCUUGAUUUAUGUAAUAUGUAUUACGGGAAAUGUUGACCCAUUAUUUUCUUUUCUGCUAUAGAAAAGUCUUAUUACUUAAUUUUGCUUUUGAGUUAGUGGUUUUCGUGAUUUAUUUGAGUAUAUAUGAGUUUGGAUAGCUGCAGAAUAAAAAGUUAACUGGGUGAGUUUUACUUCUUGGAGCUGAAUUAUGGAAAAUAGGUUGCUAUGGAUAAAUGAGUUGGUAGAGGAGACGAGGUUUAUGCCAUAACAAAGUAUGUAAAUGAUUGUGCACUUUGGCACCUAAGCUUUGUUUUACACAAUGUAAAAUAUUUUCGUGAAAU